Molecule: unclassified non-coding RNA, 2138 nt
Filed under: Hevea brasiliensis (rubber tree)
Lineage: Eukaryota; Viridiplantae; Streptophyta; Magnoliopsida; Malpighiales; Euphorbiaceae
Source: RNAcentral
CUGAAUUUGAAACAAUGUGACAGCAGCUUUAUUUAGUUGUGCAAAAGCAUGGUGGCUGUUUUAGUGUGUGCCUAGCACUUAUAUAGUUAUAUGUAGGAAGUGGUGGUGGUUUAUAAAAAAUUAAAAAUCAUGGUGACUUAAGAUUCAGUUUCUACCGGGAGCAAAUUUUACAUGCUUGGGAAUUUGACACAGGCCUUUCCUUGUGUUGCAGCAGCUAAGAGCUUGCUUGUUUUCGUGAAUUUAUUUAAGAUUCUAACUCAUUUUGUCUGGACUUUUUGCAGUCUUCAUUAGCAGCAGCAAGAGCUGAUAAUUUCUACUACCCCCCAGAAUGGACUCCAAAACAGGGUUCUUUGAACAAGUUUCAUGGCCAGCAUGCUCUCAGGGAGAGAGCAAAAAAGAUAGACCAGGGCAUUUUGAUAAUCAGGUUCGAGAUGCCAUUCAAUGUAUGGUGUGGUGGUUGCAAUUCUAUGAUUGCAAAGGGUGUUCGGUUCAAUGCAGAGAAAAAGCAAGUGGGGAACUAUUAUUCUACAAAGGUAUCUUAAACAACUGAUUAACAUAUGUUACCAACACUUCAAAGAUAGAAAUCUAGAAGUAUGUGAAGGGAUCCAGUGAUGGCUUUGUACAUGUUUAAUUGAAGGAGAAUAUUGACCUUUUCUGCUUAAACUUGAUUUUAUAUUGUGCUGCUUUGAAGUGAAACUGUGGACUUGCAUCCUUACUGACGCGCAUAGUUCACACACACACAGCAAUCCUGACUACUUGUAUCUUGUACAUGGUUUUAGGCCAUCAGAAAGUUUAUCUGCUAAUCAAUUUUGCCCCCCUAGCCAAUUGGAGAGCUCAUGUUUUAAUCCUGUUGAGCACUUAUUUAUACUAUGGAAUUUUGUUUUUCUAUUUCUAAUCUAAGUUUCUUAUGUGUCUUGUUACUUCCUUCAGAUAUGGAGCUUUACCAUGAAAUCUGCAUGCUGCAAACAUGAAAUUGUUAUUCAGACAGAUCCGAAAAAUUGUGAAUAUGUGAUUAUUAGUGGGGCUCAACGAAAGACUGAGGAGUUUGAUGUUGAGGAUGCAGAAACAUUUGCACUUCCUGCAGAUGAAGAGAGGGGUAAGUUGGCGGAUCCAUUUUAUCGUCUUGAACAUCAAGAAGAGGAUUUGCAGAAGAAGAAAGAAGCUGAGCCAGUGCUAGUUCGGCUUCAACGAGUAUCUGAUGCUAGGCAUUCAGAUGACUAUGCUCUUAACAAGGCUCUUCGAGCCCAACUUAGAAGUCAAAAGAAAAGAGUUGCUGAAGAAGAGGUCGCUUCAAGGAAAAUGGGACUUGGCAUAAGACUGCUUCCGACUGCUAAAGAAGAUUCUGUUGCAGCAGCAAAUGUGAAGUUCUCUUCCAAGUUUGACAAAAAUAGAAGGGAUAAGCGAGCAUUAAUUAAUGCAACUUCAAUCUUUUCAGAAUCUUCUGUACCCUCCUCGUCCAAUAAGAAGCGAUUGGAGCUAGAAGCCAAGAGAAGGAAAAUCAGUGCAGCUGCAGCAUCAAACUUGCUGAGAGGGGGAUUUAAGCCAUCUUCAUGGUCGCGGGGUGCGGUUUCUUCAAUCAGGCAUAAGUGAAUAAAUUCAAGACAUUUUUAGCUAUGGAUAUUAUGCGUAACUGAUGUUUCUCUGCAUUUGGAUUUAAUAUCUAUGUGUGGAAUUUUUUUCUCCUUUGCCUGCUCUAGGUGGCAUUGGAUCAUGUACAUAGCAGUGUCUGCUACUUUGUUCUCCUUUUUGCUGGCCCUUGUUUUCUAGGGCGCCAACAAAGGUUAUAGCAAGUAUUUUGGGUGUCGUAUUCAGCUAGUAAUCUCAAACAGGGAAAUGAACGACAGUUAUCGAAUUUCUAGUAGAAAUUCCUUUCCCCGUCUGGGUAAGAAGAUUCUUCGUCCGUCUAAUAAAGAAAUUUGAAAUGGAGUUAUCGUAUGACAAACUCAAAUGCUCGAAAAGAAUUUGGGAAUACUUUUCUUAUUACACGUGCGUCAUCUCUAUAAACUGUCCCUAGGAAAAUCAGGGAAUUUAAGCCUUGCUAUGGGGCCAGUGCCUUUCAUUUUGUAAUAAGUUUUCAUAUUAUUGAAUCAACUUUACCCUAAUUAAUAUUUUUUUUUUAUAAGUAAUUUUUUUUUUUA